Molecule: non-coding RNA, 69 nt
Organism: Podarcis lilfordi (Lilford's wall lizard)
Lineage: Eukaryota; Metazoa; Chordata; Lepidosauria; Squamata; Lacertidae
Source: the annotation of a GenBank genome assembly
GCUGUAGCUCAGAGGUAGAGCAUCUGUUUUACAUGCAGAAGGUCCCAGGUUCUAAUCCUGUCAUCUCCA